RNAcentral lists this long non-coding RNA (1223 nucleotides) under Nicotiana benthamiana. RNAcentral describes it as "long non-coding RNA (NBEN_LNC032104)". Lineage: Eukaryota; Viridiplantae; Streptophyta; Magnoliopsida; Solanales; Solanaceae. The record is from RNAcentral.
CCACAGACCUUUUAGCUUAUUAAAAUACGAAGCUAUAUCUAAGGACCCUUGAGAGAUGUGGGACAACUCUCUUUUCAACUCAAAAAUUUUGGUCCUGUUUGCAGUGCCAUAUCCGGCAUGAAGUUGGGACCAUAUACUUUGUGCAGUAUCAGAAUAAUGCACACUUUCAGCAAUUUGUGGGGAGAGGGAGGCAGUUAACCAAGAAAUCACCAUGUUAUUGCACCUAUCCCAUAACCUUUGUUGAGCCACAUUAGUGGCUGGUCGGGAGCACGUGCCAUCAACAAAACCAAUCUUAUUUUUAGCAGAUAAUGCAACAACAUUUUUCUCCUCCAACCCCCAUAACCACUUCCCCAGAAGGGAGUGGGAACAAGAGAGACCCCAGGGACAUCAAAGGAGUAUACAAAGAGAGGACUGGUAGAGUCUACCGAGGAGGAGGUACCAGUAUUCGUAGUAGAAGUCAUGAUUAAUGCACCAGUUUGAAAAGAAAAACAGUUUCGACAAGCAAAAUAUCACGAAACUAGAUAUUCACACACGAAGCCAAAUAAUCACACACAAAGUAUACAAUACUCAAGAGAAGUACAGAGUUACCCUCCUUCUUCGCGACCGGAGAAAAUCGGCCUUCAAAAAACAGAGAAACCCUAGGUAUCAAACCCUAGGUGUAACCUUAAAAGCAACUUUACUGGAAAUGUGGUCAGGAACGUCGGAGAUGCACCCAAAACGUCCACUGAGUGAGAAUCGAGCCACCGAAAAGCAGUAGAACCCUAGGUUAAACCACCAGAAACCCUAGAAGCCGAUAGGUCACCGAGAAACCACCCGAAAGAUAACAGUAAAACGCUAGGUUAAACCACCAGAAACCCUAGAAGCAGAUAGGUCACCGAAAAAUCACCCAAAAAUCAUCGGAAAACCUCCCAGAACAUUCGAGUGGAGAAGAUAUACUCAGAUAUCACGAAGAAAAUCUUAGAAGAGCAUCCGAUUUAGAUCAGAAUCGUCAUCGACCAUAAGGUCUCAGAAACAUCCCCAAAAAAUCUCAAAAGAGACUUCAACCAAAACAACGAGAUGCAGAAAAACAUAGUCGGAUCGUCGUUUAGGCUCUGAUACCAUGUAAAUAUUGAUAUUAGACCGAAAAAUCAUGGAAAAUGUAGAGAGAGAAUCUAGAGAGAAGGAGGAGCGUUUGAGAACUCUCUAGAAUAGAGAGAGAAUUUAUUAAUCAGAAAUGAAAAUAG